MicroRNA precursor from Drosophila melanogaster (fruit fly), 79 nucleotides. It matches the Rfam family "mir-87 microRNA precursor family". NCBI's taxonomy places the organism in Eukaryota, Metazoa, Arthropoda, Insecta, Diptera, Drosophilidae. The record is from Rfam.
CAUUCGCGCCUGUAUCUUGCUGAACCGCUGCCAUUAUGGCCAACGAUCCGGUUGAGCAAAAUUUCAGGUGUGUGAGAAA